CUGUAGCUCAGCUGGAUAGAGCAACGGCCUUCUAAGCCGUGGGUCGCAGGUUCGAAUCCUGUCAG
This 65-nucleotide transfer RNA is filed under the name bovine gut metagenome. It matches the Rfam family "tRNA", at positions 5 to 66 of the family's 71-position model. From Rfam's summary of the family: Transfer RNA (tRNA) molecules are approximately 80 nucleotides in length. The record is from RNAcentral.